AAAGGUCUUAUUCUCAAGACUUAAUUUCUUUCUCUUGAAUUUGGCUGUUAUAUGGCAGACAUACAGACAUAUGUUUAUUAGCAUAUAUUUAUAUAUUUUUAUAUUUUAUCUAGUAUUUCUACUCAUUCUAUAUGUUGGGAGUAGAAGGGUAUGUUCAGUUUCCCCUCUCUGCUGAGGAUGGAGCUAAGACUCACUAUUAGAAGAUUCUGAUGAUCCUGAUGGGUAGACACGAAAGAGCCAAGGCUUCCUUUACAGAGCUUGGCAUGUCCUCCUUGGCUGGUGAUUUCCCGGUGGCCAGCCCAUGGCCGCUGGAACCCACUGCAGCCUUUUUGAAGGAAAGGACAGACCUGUUCAUUACGAUGAGACUAGUCUUUUUGAGGCGGUGAAACGAUUGACUUGUACUGGUUUAAAGUGACAUUAUUUCCAUGCAUCCAGUAAUAGACCAGGGUUGGGUUGAGCAUUAAUGGUAAAGGUAUGAUAGAGGGGAAAAUAUGAAAGAGAUAGCAAGAGAAGAGGGGAAGAAAUAGUAAGAAUGAAGACAAAGAAAAAGGAAAGGCAGGGAAAAUGGGAUGAUCCAAGAGAGGAGAGGAAAGAAGGUGGGAGCAGGCACGGGAGCCCACUGCCUCCCUGGCCCCAGCACUCUCUGGGGGAGGAAGCUGGCAGCUUCCGGCAGUGGUGCAGCCUCGGUCUGUGAUCACACCUGGAGCUGGCAGCCGGCAGCUGGCAGGUGGCUGCACCUGCAGUCCUACCCACUCUAGUCCCCUCUCUUCACUUGUCAGACACACUCCAAGUCCAGCUUGGACCCUGGAACCUGCUUGUGUUCAGUUUAAAGGAAGCUCAUUUCCAGCUCCUCAUCAGCUGAGAAAGCAACAAGCUGCUAUUUUUGACAAUUUCAAGGUAUGGACGGUAGGGCCAGGCUGCCGCCACCAUGUUCGUUUUCCCUGUGGAGCCAGGAAAGGAGGGGACACGUGGGGGGAGAUUUUCAGCCAACCUGAUUGCCGUGGAGCAGGGAACACUAGUGAAAAUCCAGCUGUAGAUGUCUGUAAUAAAGGGAUUUUUGUCAGUGUUCUUGAAUGCUCUUGAGGUUCUGAAGACGCAAUCUGUCUGACCGACCUCCUGCAAAUGCUGUGCCCCGAUGCACAAAAUUAAUGCCAGGCCUCUGAAUUGUGAGAUUGAUGAAUUCCAGUUAGUUCUUUAAAUAGCAAUGUUUGGUAUUUGGCGCUAUUUAGGAACUUCUAGCACCCAUUCUAUUUAUAAAUUGCUUUUAUAAGCAUAGGAUUUAAAGGCUGAAAAAGACAUCAGAAAUGCUGUAAUGAAAACAGUACUUUCCAGUGCUAGCUCUGAAACUAAUCAUUUGUGACCUUGAAUAAACCACUUCUCUGGGUCUGAUUUCCCUUUCCUAUAACACAAAAUGCUUGAACUCACUGGGCGUACUUCAGUUCUCACGUGCCCUUAUGUGUUGUCCACAGCGCCCCUGGCUAGGGGCAAGCCCACUCCAGUCCCCGCCACCCAUUCAUCCUGCGCUGUGGUCCACAGACUCUGGGGUGCUCUGCUGCCUGGGUCACACAGGGCCCAGAGAGCCAGAGCAGACCCCCGUCAGCUCCGGAUUCAGCUCAGGGUUGGGUGGGAAAUGCACCUAGUUUCCAUGUUGGUUGUGGGGCUCUAGCCGCAGAGAGGCUACGGUCUCUGCCACAGAGUCGAGUCCCUCUCACUGUAGAGAGAAUGAAGGUUUUCCAGUCUGAAUACAGACAUUUUGUAAGUGACUGAACAUCUCUCAAGACAGACACACUCAUACUUCCAGGCUAUUGUUGAUCUCAGAUUCUCCUUCUAAAUGUAAAAUGGACAUGCCCAAAGGGACGGACCAGACUGUGGGCAGUGAUUUACGAUGUCAGACACUGAGCUGGUGACCCCUGCCAUGCCGAAACGUCUUUGAUUCCUCGCUCUUCUUGAUGACUCACACCACCCAGUCUCUGUACUAGCUUCGUACUGCUGCCUUGAAGUCCCAGGAACUGCGGGGCUCGGGACAGAAGAAGUGCAUUCCCUUACACAUCUGGAGGGAGCAAAGUGGAAGCUGAGGUCCCCAUUCACAACGUGCUGCGGAGUGCUGGGCUACAGCAGGUAUCCUUAACACGUUGAAGCUCAGUGAUUCAGACUCGUCUGGCUUCAUUGCUCGUUUGUUCAUCUCUGCAAAAUUGUUGGAAUGACAUUGCUGUUCUGUGUCAAAAGAAGGGUCUUGGGGCCGCUGAGACCUCCACUGGGAACAAGAAAGGCCUGUGCAGGCAGAGCUCCCGGCCACCUCUCCGCUGCAUCACCCAUCAUGCCUCCACCAUUAUUUGUUCUGAUGCAGGGCUGAUGUCAAGAAUUUCAGAAAGAGGACUGGAGCUUUCUUAUCUCUGAAAUUGCUCAUCUAAAUCUCAGUAACUCAUGCAACAUGUUUUCUUAAAUGUAAGUGCUUGGCUACAGUUCUGUAUUAUACUAUGUCUCUUUGUUUUAUUUUUGUUUAUUGUUUGGUUUUAUCUAGGAAAGAUGUAGGUUAUAUCAUGGGACUCAUAUUCAUAAACCUAGUAUAUUGUGCCCGAUUGUUUUUGAUUGUGGAUAAGUCUGUUUUAAUUGUCACAUAUUUCUGUCCCCAAGAAUGCACAUCUCACUCACAAUGGUCCGUGUUUCUUUAACGAAGGAAUUAGAAUAAAGCAUCUGGGACCAGAGCAGGCCACAGGGCCUGUGUCUCUUUUGCUAUCAGGCUCGAUGAGGUGAAAAGUGAAGGCCAGCCACAAAUCAGCUGAGAAUUAACACAAGCUGUUGUUUUGGAGUUUUUCAAAUAUUUUCCAACUCCCAUUGUGUGUUUUUGUGUUUUGUACUCAAAAUCCACUGCCAAAACCUCCCCCAAUGUCAACCCUUCCUGGAUCCCUGCGUCGUUUGGACAGCAAACCAGACUUCUCAUAGGUCAUUAAUCCCAGAGAGAUGUGUUUGUUAAAUAUGAGGAGAUGAGCACAUAUUUUUACCACAUUGAGGUUCACAAAUUCAUUUUUUAAAAAUAAGAUCUUGUCUAACUAAAUUUCUAAUCUACUCCUGAUUUGCAUUUUUAGGGUAGUGUUCAGAUACUCAAAAAUGUAUCUGAAAUGAGAAUCACACCCUGUGGAAUUAGUAGGUUCAGAUGUUGAAGAGAGAGUGGAUAGAACAAGAGGGGAGAGCAGGUUAGUGACCGCAAAGAGAAAGUGGACACAUAAGGCACAUUGCUGUUUUCCGGGGAGAGGAGGGGGAGUAUAUGUGUAUUCUUUUUGUUUUUUACUGCCUGUGGACAAACUAUGCCUGGGAAAAGCCCUCUACUUACAUCUCUUUUGUUGAACACUGUGAUUUUUCAGUAUGCCUUUCCCUUAUGUAACGAUUAUUAAGUUUCCCAAAUAACAGUAAGACAAUUUUCUCUUUUCUUCCUGUGUUUAUGGGCACUGUACUGAAGCUGAUUGCAAUGAAUCAUGUGUGUUAAGUACUCAGCACUAAUCUCAUUUUUCUUUCUUUCAUUCCUGUAGGCAAUGGAAUGACA
Long non-coding RNA from Phyllostomus discolor (pale spear-nosed bat), 3541 nucleotides. RefSeq lists it as uncharacterized. The record is from RefSeq and is a predicted model, not a curated record. Lineage: Eukaryota; Metazoa; Chordata; Mammalia; Chiroptera; Phyllostomidae. The transcript is spliced from 3 exons.